This is a small nuclear RNA of Nannospalax galili (Upper Galilee mountains blind mole rat), 157 nucleotides long. Its record names the gene U1. It matches the Rfam family "U1 spliceosomal RNA". From Rfam's summary of the family: U1 is a small nuclear RNA (snRNA) component of the spliceosome (involved in pre-mRNA splicing). Lineage: Eukaryota; Metazoa; Chordata; Mammalia; Rodentia; Spalacidae. The record is from Ensembl.
AUAUUUACCUGGCAAGCUAGACACCAUGUUCUUGAUGGUGGUUUGCAGGCUGAAGCUCAUCCAUCCUCUGAAUGUACUGAUCCCUGAAUAUCCCCAAAAGCAGGAAACUUGACAGCAUCAUUUGUGGUAAUGAAGAACUGUAUUUGUGCUUUCUUCU